AUGGCGCAUGCAGAGUGCAUCCUUGAUGUGAAACAAUCACAAGUGCUUGCUGAAGUGGUGAUGUUCUUAUAUACCAGGAAUGCUGAAGCUCCAACAGUCACUGCUACCUACCGUCUCUUCAUCAUUUUGUACCACCUCCCCCUCUGCUAUUCUCGGAUUCAAAACAUCAAAGAACAAAUGGUGGAAUAAAUCAUCCAGACAUCUAUCUCAAAAGAAAGAGCAAGUCUAAGAUGUAAAUCUGCUUAAAAUUUGUGGGUGGAUCAUGGAUUAGUAAAUUCCCACUCUCUGCUGCUCAAUUUUUGGGUAAAAAGAUGGCCCAACAUGUAUCGAGAGAAAAUGAGGAAAAAAAUAAACUAAUUUGGUAUGAACA
This 370-nucleotide long non-coding RNA is filed under the name Phasianus colchicus (ring-necked pheasant). RNAcentral describes it as "lncRNA (ENSPCLG00000000803.1)". Lineage: Eukaryota; Metazoa; Chordata; Aves; Galliformes; Phasianidae. The record is from RNAcentral.